Molecule: long non-coding RNA, 677 nt
Filed under: Physcomitrium patens
Lineage: Eukaryota; Viridiplantae; Streptophyta; Bryopsida; Funariales; Funariaceae
Description: long non-coding RNA (PPAT_LNC003808)
Source: RNAcentral
AUUGACUAUACUCUCGCUAUCUGAAAUCAAUUAUCAAACUACAAAAUACCAAGGCUUACUACUUUCAUCUUAAUUCAAUCUAUAAUCCAUUCUACGACUAUCAAUUCAACAAUACUUCCAUAUUCUUAUCCAUUCAUCUCCCACUUACUCUCUUUGUACUUUAUAUAUAUAUUCAAUUACUGAUUUCUAGCUUAUCUAUUGUAUUCAGUUUCUCAAUUCAUCACACAGAAUUCGAUAUCUUGACUUACGACUCUCACACUCUGGCUCCCAACUUACGACUAUCAUAGUCUGACUCUCGACUUACCACUCUCACAAUCUGGCUCUCAGCUUAUGACUCUCACAGUCUGGCUCUCGCUUUACAACUCUCAUAGUCUAGCUCUCGACUUACGACUCUCACAGUUUGGCAUUCCAGACUAACUUCUUAGUAUUCAAAAACUAUCUAUUACUCAUCAACAACAAAGAAUCAAAAAGAGGUAGCACCAAGCUUACCCCGACUUACGACUAUCACAGUUUGGCCCUUGGCUUAUGACUCUCACAGUCUAGCUCUUGGCUUACGAGUAUUACAGUCUGGCUCUCGGCUUACGACUCUCACACUCUAGCUCCGAUCUCUCUUUCCUCAACAUCUUUAUCCUACCAAAAAAAUGAUCCGUCGGCCAACGAAUUUCAAAGGUUAUGAC